GACGAACGCUGGCGGCGUGCUUAACACAUGCAAGUCGAACGGAAAGGCCCUGCUUUUGUGGGGUGCUCGAGUGGCGAACGGGUGAGUAACACGUGAGUAACCUGCCCUUGACUUUGGGAUAACUUCAGGAAACUGGGGCUAAUACCGGAUAGGAGCUCCUGCUGCAUGGUGGGGGUUGGAAAGUUUCGGCGGUUGGGGAUAGACUCGCGGCUUAUCAGCUUGUUGGUGGGGUAGUGGCUUACCAAGGCUUUGACGGGUAGCCGGCCUGGGAGGGUGACCGGCCACAUGGGGACUGAGAGACGGCCCAGACUCCUACGGGAGGCAGCAGGGGGGAAUAUGGCACAAUGGGCGGAAGCCUGAUGCAGAAACGCCGCGGUCGGGAUGACGGCCUUCGGGGUGUGAACCGCUUUCGCCUGUGACGAAGCGUGAGUGACGGUAAUGGGUAAAGAAGCACCGGCUAACUACGUG
This 468-nucleotide ribosomal RNA is filed under the name uncultured bacterium. RNAcentral describes it as "partial 16S ribosomal RNA". It matches the Rfam family "Bacterial small subunit ribosomal RNA", at positions 28 to 507 of the family's 1533-position model. The record is from RNAcentral.